AUUUUUGUGAUUACAUAUAACAUAAGGGGGUUUUCUGCAAAAAACAUGCCACGUCGGCACCUGACGGGCGGGCCCCAUCGGUCAGAUACACCGUCAAUACGUAUAAAUACGCGUUUUAGCCUAAUUUGCAAAAACUUAGACCAAUGUUGGUACUGACACGUAAAAAUUAGCAAUCAUGGUACCAAUCUGCAUGUGAUGCCCG
RNAcentral lists this ribosomal RNA (202 nucleotides) under Triticum aestivum (bread wheat). RNAcentral's name for it is "partial small subunit ribosomal RNA". The record is from RNAcentral. Lineage: Eukaryota; Viridiplantae; Streptophyta; Magnoliopsida; Poales; Poaceae.